RNAcentral lists this long non-coding RNA (1523 nucleotides) under Mytilus galloprovincialis (Mediterranean mussel). The record is from RNAcentral. Lineage: Eukaryota; Metazoa; Mollusca; Bivalvia; Mytilida; Mytilidae.
AGAGAGGUCAAGCUUGCUAUGGGUUCAGCCUUUCGGCCUGGUACUUAUUCUAAUCUGAAGAGUCAACUUAAUGCAUACCAUAUUUUUUGUGUGUUUUAUAAAUUUCGACCAUUUCCUUGUAUUAAGGAUACAUUGUGUGCUUAUGCAUGUUUUCUAUCAAGAGUUUAAGCAGUUUUUCAUCUGUUAAGAAUUCUAUUUCUGGCAUUAAGACCUGGAGUCAACUGUUUGGUUUUACUGUGGAACCAUUUUUAUUUACAGAAUUGAAAUUGACUUUAAGAGAAUUGAGCCAUAAGAAUCAGCAUGUGGCUGUGUCGAAAUUGCCACUGUUGCCGACACAUUUAAUUGAUAUUGUUAAGUUGUUGAAUAUUUAUAAUUAUUUAGAUGCUUGUUUAUGGUGUUUUCUAACGUUUGCUCUUUUCGGUAUGCUUAGGGCGUCAAAUCUAGUCAGCAGGAGCUCUACAUCUUUUAAUUCUCGUGAACAAUUGAUCAGAGAGAAUGUUGUUGUGAGUGAAAAGGGUAUCCUUCUUUUAUUGAAAUGGUCAAAGACUAGACAAGAUCAUGAUUACACACAUCAGGUUUCUCUAUGUUGCUCAGUCGAGCCAUUAAUGUGUCCUGUUCGAGCUUAUAAGCAUCUUGUGUCUUUAAUACCUGGUGAUAAGAAUGCUCCCGUUUUUGCUUUACCUGUAAUGGUAAAUUAUUGCCGUUAUCUAGAUCAGUUUUAUUGGACCGUUUUAGAGAGUUAAUUGUUCUUGUUGGUUUAGACCCUUCAGUUUAUUCUUUCCAUUCGUUGAGGCACGGAGUGGCUACAUUAGCCACCAAGGCUGGCAUUCCUGAGAUUUUAUUGAAACAUCAUGGAGACUGGGAUCUAACUGUUUUCAGACUUACAUUUAACAGGCUAGUGUUGAUAUGUAUCGGGUUACGUCAGCCAUGAAUUAUUUGAUUGGUUGUCAGUUUUAGGGUAUGUGCGCCGGGGUAUUAUUAUAUUUUUGGUUUGUUGUUUUUUAAUAUGUUCAUAUACAUGUAUAUAUAUUUUUUUUCUCCCUCGGUUUGGCGACUUCGUUUUGGGUUCAGGUGCUUCAUAUUAACACUUUGUUCAUUGUAGCUUAUUGAUACCAUGCUUGGUGUAACUAUAUUUGAAUGCAUUAUUAUAAUAAAGCACCUUUCGCCAAACACUAUUAGUUGUCAAUUGCGUACAAUGGGAGGCAACUCUCAUUGUACCUAAUUGAUAACGCCUUGUAAGAGAUUGCUUCCCUUUGAUUCUUCAUCCGGGUUUAUAUUACCAUGUGGUUUUAAGCAAAAGAGCAUGUUCCAGCCACUUUUAAUUAUGUAAUUGAUGUAAAACAUUUUUUUUUUCUUUUUCUUUUUAUUGUUAAUCUUUUCUAAUUACUUUUAUUAUUACCCACAUUGGGGUUCAGGUGCUUCAUAUUAACACUUUGUUCAUUGUAGCUUAUUGAUACCAUGCUUGGUGUAACUAUAUUUGAAUGCAUUAUUAUAAUAAAGCACCUUUCGCCAAACACUAUUAG